This 726-nucleotide ribosomal RNA is filed under the name uncultured bacterium. Its description in RNAcentral is "bacterial SSU rRNA". It matches the Rfam family "Bacterial small subunit ribosomal RNA", at positions 71 to 812 of the family's 1533-position model. The record is from RNAcentral.
AACUUCCCUUCGGGGAAGAAUAAAGUGGCGCACGGGUGAGUAACACGUAGGUAAUCUACCCUUGAGUGGGGAAUAACGUCCGGAAACGGACGCUAAUACCGCAUAAUGCAGCGGCACCUUAUGGUGACAGUUGUUAAAGGAGCAAUCCGCUUAAAGAGGAGCCUGCGGCAGAUUAGCUUGUUGGUAAGGUAACGGCUUACCAAGGCUACGAUCUGUAUCCGACCUGAGAGGGUGGUCGGACACACUGACACUGAAUAACGGGUCAGACUCCUACGGGAGGCAGCAGUCGGGAAUUUUGGGCAAUGGGCGAAAGCCUGACCCAGCAACGCCGCGUGAAGGAUGAAGUCUUUCGGGAUGUAAACUUCGUAAGAAUGGGAAGAAUAAAUGACGGUACCAUUUGUAAGGUCCGGCUAACUACGUGCCAGCAGCCGCGGUAAUACGUAGGGACCAAGCGUUGUUCGGAUUUACUGGGCGUAAAGGGCGCGUAGGCGGCAAUUCAAGUCAGCUGUGAAAUCUCCGAGCUUAACUCGGAACGGUCAGCUGAUACUGCUUUGCUAGAGUGCAGAAGGGGCAAUCGGAAUUCUUGGUGUAGCGGUGAAAUGCGUAGAUAUCAAGAGGAACACCUGCGGCGAAGGCGGGUUGCUGGGCUGACACUGACGCUGAAGCGCGAAAGCUAGGGGAGCGAACGGGAUUAGAUACCCCGGUAGUCCUAGCCUUAAACGAUGA